Molecule: transfer RNA, 74 nt
Filed under: Planctomycetia bacterium
Lineage: Bacteria; Pseudomonadati; Planctomycetota; Planctomycetia
Description: tRNA-Ile
Rfam family: tRNA
About the family: Transfer RNA (tRNA) molecules are approximately 80 nucleotides in length.
Source: RNAcentral
GGGCCGGUAGCUCAGUUGGUUAGAGCAAGGGACUCAUAAUCCCUGGGUCUGCGGUUCAAGUCCGUGCCGGCCUA